GUCAAUGAUGAUUUGUCCACGGUUUGAGAUUAGUAAUUAGUUUCAAGACCCUGUUUUCAGGGAGAACCUCCUUGAGGCUGCUACGUACAUCAUAAUAUAUAUGAACUUACUGGAC
Molecule: small nucleolar RNA, 115 nt
Organism: Alnus glutinosa
Lineage: Eukaryota; Viridiplantae; Streptophyta; Magnoliopsida; Fagales; Betulaceae
Product: small nucleolar RNA Z278
Exons: 1
Source: RefSeq, a predicted model, not a curated record